GUGGCGCAACGGAUAGCUGCUUGGGAAACCAAGAGGAAAGUCCGAGCUGCAGUGAGGCAGGGUUCCACCUAACCGGUGGCCAGCGAAGCCCUUUGGGAUAAGCUGAGGGAAAGUGCAACAGAAAGCAGACCGCCGAUGGCCUUUUGGCACAGGCAAGGGUGAAAGGGUGAGGUAAGAGCUCACCGCUUCUGUGGCAACACAGAAGGCAGUGUAAACCCAACCCGCAGCAAGUCGCACCUGGUUAAAGCCUCACAUUUUUGAGUGCGACGCUAGAGCUUAGUGGUGACACUAAGCGUAGAUAAAUAGCUAUCCACGACAGAACUCGGCUUACAGUUGCGCCACCUCU
RNAcentral lists this RNase P RNA (346 nucleotides) under Nitratiruptor sp. SB155-2. Its description in RNAcentral is "Bacterial RNase P class A". It matches the Rfam family "Bacterial RNase P class A". Rfam says of the family: Ribonuclease P (RNase P) is a ubiquitous endoribonuclease, found in archaea, bacteria and eukarya as well as chloroplasts and mitochondria. Its best characterised activity is the generation of mature 5'-ends of tRNAs by cleaving the 5'-leader elements of precursor-tRNAs. The record is from Rfam by way of RNAcentral. Lineage: Bacteria; Pseudomonadati; Campylobacterota; Epsilonproteobacteria; Nautiliales; Nitratiruptoraceae.